AACGCUGGCGGCAUGGCUAAAACAUGCAAGUCGAACGAGAACCCCUUCGGGGGGGACAGUGGCGAAAGGGCGAGUAAUGCGAUCGAACGUACCCCGAGGUGGGGGAUAGCGACGGGAAACUGUCGGUAAGACCCCAUGUGCUCUACGGAGGAAAGGCUUGCCGCCUCGGGAGCGGCGAUCGUCCUAUCAGGUAGUUGGUGAGGUAAUGGCUCACCAAGCCGAAGACGGGUAGCGGGUGUGAGAGCAUGACCCGCCGCAUCGGGACUGAGACACUGCCCGGACUCCUACGGGAGGCUGCAGUAACGAAUCUUCCGCAAUGGGCGAAAGCCUGACGGAGCAAUGCCGCGUGUGGGAUGAAGCGUCUUCGACGUGUAAACCACUGUCAGGACCUAGGAACACUGACCGGGUCCAGAGGAAGGGCCGGCUAUCUCGUGCCAGCAGCCGCGGUAAUACGAGAGGCCCGAGCGUUAAUCGGAAUCAUUGGGCUUAAAGGGUGCGCAGGCGGAUCGGCAGGCGUCCUGUGAAAGCCCCCGGCUCAACCGGGGAAUUGCGGGGCGAACCGCCGAUCUUGAGGCAGGUAGGGGCCAGUGGAACCAUGGGUGGAGCGGUGAAAUGCGUAGAUAUCCAUGGGAACGCCGAUGGCGAAGGCAGCUGGUUGGGCCUGUCCUGACGCUCAGGCACGAAAGCGUGGGGAGCAAACGGGAUUAGAUACCCCGGUAGUCCACGCCGUAAACGAUGUGCACUAGGUCGAGGUGGCUCUCACGCCUUCUCGGCCGAAGUAAAAACGUUAAGUGCACCGC
This 800-nucleotide ribosomal RNA is filed under the name uncultured bacterium. Its description in RNAcentral is "bacterial SSU rRNA". It matches the Rfam family "Bacterial small subunit ribosomal RNA", at positions 32 to 872 of the family's 1533-position model. The record is from RNAcentral.